This 293-nucleotide long non-coding RNA is filed under the name Lupinus angustifolius (narrow-leaved blue lupine). RNAcentral describes it as "long non-coding RNA (LANG_LNC001334)". The record is from RNAcentral. Lineage: Eukaryota; Viridiplantae; Streptophyta; Magnoliopsida; Fabales; Fabaceae.
AGAAGAAGAAGAAGAAGGGGGUGUGCCAGGUGAAGGGAAUAAUGGUGGAAAUGGAAACAAUGGUGAUGAUGGUGGUGGUGAUGGUGGAGGCUGAAAUGGGUUAGGAAAAAGUGGUGUUGGGCUAGGUGGCUGCAAAGGGUUAGGUAUAAGUGGUGAGCUUGGUGGCUGCAAUGGGUUAGGAACUAAAGGUGGUGGCUGCAAUGGGUUAGGUACUAAAGGUGGUGGUUGAAGUGGGUUUGGAACAAUAGGUGGUGGAAAAAAUGGGAUAGGUGAAAAAAAAGGAAGAUGUUGAG